UUGGUGACAGAUCUAGGUGCUGUUGUAGGGCCCUCCUUGGUUGGUGACAGAUCUAGGUGCUGUUGUACGGCCCUCCUUGGUUGGGGACAGAUCUAGGUGCUGUUGUACGGCCCUCCUUGGUUGGGGACAGAUCUAGGUGCUGUUGUACGGCCCUCCUUGGUUGGGGACAGAUCUAGGUGCUGUUGUACGGCCCUCCUUGGUUGGGGACAGAUCUAGGUGCUGUUGUACGGCCCUCCUUGGUUGGUGACAGAAGAACCAGAUCAUCAGCAAACACAGAAAUACAGUAGACAUUUGACUUCAGAUUGGAAAUAUUUUAACCACACACUUGUUGUUUGUGUACAUGGAUUGUUUGAUGUUGUAUGUUCCCCCCCGACACCACUUUCCGUCAAUUUGUGAUUGACCAGCUCAAAUCGGUCUUAUGUAGCAAAAUUCAAAAUUGUGUUUUUAUUAACAUUGGAUAAAAGUAGAGAUUCAGAGCUACAAAAUGGUAUUUCGCAUUUGAGGAACAAAGGGAAAGUAAUUCUGCUUUGAAAGUUGAUCAACUUGUAAGCCCACUUUUGAGAAAAUGGCCCUUGAAUGUUUUGGUACUGAGUGAAGAGCUCCUCUUUGUCUCCUCCCGUUCAGCAUCGUUCACACCCUCUUAACCCUCCGGUUGUGUUCGUUUCAUGUUAAUUAAUUCUGUGUUCCCGGUCCAAAAUGACCACCCCAUUUAUAGCU
Oncorhynchus keta (chum salmon) is the source of this 717-nucleotide long non-coding RNA. RefSeq lists it as uncharacterized. NCBI's taxonomy places the organism in Eukaryota, Metazoa, Chordata, Actinopteri, Salmoniformes, Salmonidae. The record is from RefSeq and is a predicted model, not a curated record. The transcript is spliced from 3 exons.